AUACGGAGGAUCCGAGCGUUAUCCGGAUUUAUUGGGUUUAAAGGGUGCGCAGGCGGCCAUUUAAGUCAGCGGUUAAAUCGUGGGGCUCAACCCCAUUCUGCCGUUGAUACUGGGUGGCUUGAUUGCGGUCGAGGUUGGCGGAAUUCGUUGUGUAGCGGUGAAAUGCAUAGAUAUGACGAAGAACACCGAUUGCGUAGGCAGCUGACCAGACCGCAAAUGACGCUCAUGCACGAAAGUGCGGGGAUCGAACAGGAUUAGAUACCCUGGUAGUCCGCACAGUAAACGAUGAAUACUUGUUUUCGGCGAUAUAAUGUCGGAGGCAAAGCGAAGGCGAUAAGUAUUCCACCUGGGGAGUACGCCGGCAACGGUGAAACUCAAAUGAAUUGACGGG
Molecule: ribosomal RNA, 391 nt
Filed under: uncultured bacterium
Lineage: Bacteria
Description: partial 16S ribosomal RNA
Rfam family: Bacterial small subunit ribosomal RNA
Source: RNAcentral